This 134-nucleotide small RNA is filed under the name Salmonella enterica subsp. enterica serovar Derby. RNAcentral describes it as "RtT sRNA". It matches the Rfam family "RtT RNA". Rfam says of the family: This family represents a bacterial cis-regulatory element known as RtT RNA. Lineage: Bacteria; Pseudomonadati; Pseudomonadota; Gammaproteobacteria; Enterobacterales; Enterobacteriaceae. RNAcentral also lists the same sequence under 12 other names. The record is from RNAcentral.
UGCAUCUGAAGCCUGACGAGGAUGAGAACCUCCGGGGGCAAGAGGUUCGACUCGAGCGCAGCGAGAGAACGUUGCUUCAGCAACGGCCCGCAGGGCGAGCCACGCAGUGGCGAGUCAUCCUCUAUCACCGACCA